AUACGGAGGGUGCAAGCGUUAUCCGGAAUCAUUGGGUUUAAAGGGUCCGCAGGCGGACUGAUAAGUCAGUGGUGAAAUCCAGUAGCUUAACUACUGAACUGCCAUUGAAACUGUCAGUCUUGAAUUCGGUCGAAGUGGGCGGAAUGUGUCAUGUAGCGGUGAAAUGCAUAGAUAUGACACAGAACACCGAUAGCGAAGGCAGCUCACUAGGCCUGAAUUGACGCUCAGGGACGAAAGCGUGGGGAGCGAACAGGAUUAGAAACCCUAGUAGUCC
RNAcentral lists this ribosomal RNA (274 nucleotides) under uncultured bacterium. RNAcentral describes it as "partial 16S ribosomal RNA". It matches the Rfam family "Bacterial small subunit ribosomal RNA", at positions 523 to 796 of the family's 1533-position model. The record is from RNAcentral.